GAGUUUGAUCAUGGCUCAGAACGUACGCUGGCGGCACGCCUAACACAUGCAAGUCGAACGAAGUAGCAAUACUUAGUGGCAGACGGGUGAGUAACAUGUAGGUAUCUACCCUUUGGCCUGGAAUAACACGAGGAAACUUGUGCUAAUACCGGAUAAGUCUUUACGGAGAAAGCUUUAUGCACCAUUGGAUGAGCCUGCACUUGAUUAGUUUGUUGGUGGGGUAAUGGCCUACCAAGACUGUGAUCAAUAGCUGAUUUGAGAGGAUGAUCAGCCACAUUGGGACUGAGACACGGCCCAAACUCCUACGGGAGGCAGCAGUGGGGAAUCUUGCACAAUGGAGGAAACUCUGAUGCAGCGAUGCCGCGUGAGUGAAGAAGGCCCUUGGGUUGUAAAGCUCUUUCGUCGGGGAAGAAAAUGACUGUACCCGAAUAAGAAGGUCCGGCUAACUUCGUGCCAGCAGCCGCGGUAAUACGAAGGGACCUAGCGUAGUUCGGAAUUACUGGGCUUAAAGAGUUCGUAGGUGGUUGAAAAAGUUGGUGGUGAAAUCCCAGAGCUUAACUCUGGAACUGCCAUCAAAACUUUUCAGCUAGAGUAUGAUAGAGGAAAGCAGAAUUUCUAGUGUAGAGGUGAAAUUCGUAGAUAUUAGAAAGAAUACCAAUUGCGAAGGCAGCUUUCUGGAUCAUUACUGACACUGAGGAACGAAAGCAUGGGUAGCGAAGAGGAUUAGAUACCCUCGUAGUCCAUGCCGUAAACGAUGUGUGUUAGACGUUGGAAAUUUAUUUUCAGUGUCGCAGCAAAAGCGAUAAACACACCGCCUGGGGAGUACGACCGCAAGGUUAAAACUCAAAUGAAUUGACGGGGACCCGCACAAGUAGUGGAGCAUGUGGUUUAAUUCGAAGAUACGCGCAGAACCUUACCAACGCUUGACAUGUUCGUCGCGACUCUAAGAGAUUAGAGUUUUCGGUUCGGCCGGACGAAACACAGGUGCUGCAUGGCUGUCGUCAGCUCGUGUCGUGAGAUGUUGGGUUAAGUCCCGCAACGAGCGCAACCCUCACUUUUAGUUGCCAUCAUUAAGUUGGGCACUCUGAAAGAACUGCCAGUGAUAAGCUGGAGGAAGGUGGGGAUGACGUCAAGUCCUCAUGGCCCUUACGUGUUGGGCUACACACGUGCUACAAUGGUAUUUACAACAGGAAGCAAAACGGCGACGUUAAGCAAAUCCCUAAAAGAUACCUCAGUUCGGAUUGCACUCUGCAACUCGAGUGCAUGAAGCUGGAAUUACUAGUAAUCGUGGAUCAGCGUGCCACGGUGAAUGCGUUCCCGGGUCUUGUACACACCGCCCGUCACACCAUGGGAGUUGGUUCUACCUUAAGGCAAGGUUUUAAACUCUUGACCACGGUAUAGUCAGCGACUGGGGUGAAGUCGUAACAAGGUAACC
RNAcentral lists this ribosomal RNA (1435 nucleotides) under uncultured marine bacterium. RNAcentral's name for it is "bacterial SSU rRNA". It matches the Rfam family "Bacterial small subunit ribosomal RNA". The record is from RNAcentral.